ACGUACACUCCUGCGGGAGGCAGCAGUGGGGAAUUUUGGACAAUGGGCGAAAGCCUGAUCCAGCCAUGCCGCGUGCAGGAUGAAGGCCUUCGGGUUGUAAACUGCUUUUGUACGGAACGAAACGGCCUUUUCUACUAAAGAGGGCUAAUGACGGUACCGUAAGAAUAAGCACCGGCUAACUACGUGCCAGCAGCCGCGGUAAUACGUAGGGUGCAAGCGUUAAUCGGAAUUACUGGGCGUAAAGCGUGCGCAGGCGGUUAUGUAAGACAGUUGUGAAAUCCCCGGGCUCAACCUGGGAACUGCAUCUGUGACUGCAUAGCUAGAGUACGGUAGAGGGGGAUGGAAUUCCGCGUGUAGCAGUGAAAUGCGUAGAUAUGCGGAGGAACACCGAUGGCGAAGGCAAUCCCCUGGACCUGUACUGACGCUCAUGCACGAAAGCGUGGGGAGCAAACAGGAUUAGAAACCCGAGUAGUCCCA
This 477-nucleotide ribosomal RNA is filed under the name uncultured organism. RNAcentral describes it as "partial 16S ribosomal RNA". It matches the Rfam family "Bacterial small subunit ribosomal RNA", at positions 329 to 797 of the family's 1533-position model. The record is from RNAcentral.